UACGGAGGGUGCGAGCGUUAAUCGGAAUUACUGGGCGUAAAGCGCACGUAGGCGGUUCUGUAAGUGGGAUGUGAAACCCCCGGGCUUAACCUGGGAAUUGCAUACCAGACUGCAAAGCUAGAGUAUGAGAGAGGGUGGUGGAAUUUCCGGUGUAGCGGUGAAAUGCGUAGAGAUCGGAAGGAACAUCAGUGGCGAAGGCGGCCACCUGGCUUAAUACUGACGCUGAGGUGCGAAAGCGUGGGGAUCAAACAGG
This 253-nucleotide ribosomal RNA is filed under the name uncultured bacterium. RNAcentral describes it as "partial 16S ribosomal RNA". It matches the Rfam family "Bacterial small subunit ribosomal RNA", at positions 524 to 776 of the family's 1533-position model. The record is from RNAcentral.